Molecule: ribosomal RNA, 237 nt
Filed under: uncultured bacterium
Lineage: Bacteria
Description: partial 16S ribosomal RNA
Rfam family: Bacterial small subunit ribosomal RNA
Source: RNAcentral
CGAACGGGUGAGUAACGCGUGAGGAACCUGCCUCAAAGAGGGGGACAACAGUUGGAAACGACUGCUAAUACCGCAUAAGCCCACGGGUCGGCAUCGAUCUGAGGGAAAAGGAGUGAUCCGCUUUGAGAUGGCCUCGCGUCCGAUUAGCUAGUUGGUGAGGUAACGGCCCACCAAGGCGACGAUCGGUAGCCGGACUGAGAGGUUGAACGGCCACAUUGGGACUGAGAUACGGCCCAG